This is a long non-coding RNA of Aricia agestis (brown argus), 405 nucleotides long. RefSeq lists it as uncharacterized. Lineage: Eukaryota; Metazoa; Arthropoda; Insecta; Lepidoptera; Lycaenidae. The record is from RefSeq and is a predicted model, not a curated record. The transcript has 4 exons.
GUGUCUGGCGAUCUUUCAUCUUUCUUUCAUCGACCUCUCCGUGCUUGUUUGCACGUCUUUCUGAAUCGUAUUAUAUCUUCAUCAUCAGAGGCUUUCGAUACAUCUGUUUUAGUAAAGCCUUUCGGCUUUAAGCACUUCAACAUGAGAGCAAAGUGGCGUAAGAAGCGUAUGCGAAGGCUAAAGCGUAAACGCAGGAAGAUGCGUGCGAGGUCUAAAUAGAAUGGUACAUCUGGAUGGGGUGAACAUUUAUUUGCAGCCUACAGACUUAUGUUUAUCUAAUAAAUAAGUUAAAAUCCACUGUUACUUUUGUGCAUAUUGCAGGAACCUUACAACUAUUUACUAUUCCCACCAGUCACUAGUCUAUAAUAGUAAAUCAUUCAGGGUACAGCUGCUGCAUUCGAGAAU